Long non-coding RNA from Equus caballus (horse), 8554 nucleotides. The record is from Ensembl. NCBI's taxonomy places the organism in Eukaryota, Metazoa, Chordata, Mammalia, Perissodactyla, Equidae.
ACCUCUAGAACAACCCCCCAAAUAACAAUAGUUUCCUGUGGCAGCAAGAACUAGCCUCCAGUUUACUGACAAAUCUAUUCCUCAAACAGCAUACCAGUAGGAACAUUGAAUACAAAAUUUCCUAGCUGUAAAAUGGAAAUAUUAAUAAAUGCUUGUUGCGUUGGAAGGUUAUUUCCAGGAGUAAUGCUAAUAUCAAUAAGGCCCUUUAAAAAUGAACUAAAGCAACUUGGAAAGUAUUGCUUUCCCUCUCAACCACUCUUCGUAUCUCCCCGGAAGUGGCUCUGUUUGUCCUGAAUCCUGGAAGUGUCUCUGAAUCCUGCAAGGAUUGAAAUGAUUGUCCUCAUACCUGCAAAAUAUUCCUGCACAACGCGUGCAAACGAUUUGACCUAGUUCUUGGGCCUCACCUAGAAGCUCCUGCAUGAGAGGAUCAAAUCCAUCUGCAUUACGGCAUCCUCAAGGGUCUUUGGGAAAGGCCUAUAGAAUACUUUGCUGAAGACAUUUGUUAACUGGCCACAGACCCUGAGUGGCAAAAACAGUGUGCUUGUCAGCUGGGAAAAGCCCCUCCAAAAAUCAGCAGAGACAAGCAAGGCAACCUCCAUGUGAAGCUUGAUUAGGACAUGGCUUGUAUUUCGGACGAUAAACUCUAUUUAUGAUGGCCUCCCGGUCAUUAAGUAUCUCCGCUGUAAGAGAAAAUUGGGGCUAUUAACUUCUCCAGAUAGAGCCAGGGGGAAGAGCGAUCAUUUCUUUUAUAAGCAGAAGGGAAGGCUCUGCUCAAUAAAGAUCAAUUAAACAUCUCUGUUAAAAGGCUGCUUGGGAGCUGGUGCCGAUAGAAAUUCCACCGUAUUAACCCUUGCUCUCUCGUUCCCGCCAGCCCUCCCCACCUCUGUAUCUGGAAUUGCGGAAAAUUUUAAGAGAACGUGGGCGACUGUAAGCUCUCUAAGGUGACAGUGGCUCUCACAUCCUUGGCUCAAUGAUCUCUGAUGUUGAGUGACUUUCCAUGCAUUUAGCGGGAGCAUCUCCAGAGGACAGCAGGCAAGUCAACACUCCUCUGGAUUCAGCUGAGCAUCAAUCUUCCUCAUGAGGGAGUAAAAAAAAAAAAAAAACAUAGAAACAGGUGCCCCAAAAGAUUACUUGGUGGUCAGAGCUCUGAAUUCCCAGGAUGCAGGAAGAGUUUUGGGGGCCCUUGGUGGUCCACUGCAUAAAGAACACAGUCCGAGGUCCCCCGCAAUCUCCACCAACACCUUACAUUUACGAUUUCAUUCUAGUCCUUUAAAAUACCACGCACUUCUAUUCUCUGGCCUACACUGUGUCCUCUGAUGGAAAUACCAUCUUUUCUCGGUGAGAAUUAACUGCCCUGCUUUCUGAGCUACCGUACGGUUUUCUUACACUGCAGUUACAAUAUGUGCCUGACAGUUAAUUUUUCAAACUUACGUCCCUCAUCCAAGAUGUAAACCCCAGUAACUGGUUUGAUGCUUUGCACAUGUCAAGUGUGUUGAAAUAAGCCUGCAGUUGGUCUUGGACAAACAUUAUUGCAGUCAACAUGUUGAUAACCACAGUCCUGAAAGGUGGGCUGUGUGCAUGGCCUAAGUCAUGGGAUAAUCCAGCCAGGCUGAAUGAAAAUGGCUCUAAGGGGACACAUCCAUCUAUACUUAAACCCAGAAAUUGUUAAACUUAAAAAUCUCCAGCAGUAACUUAGACAUUAAAGCCCUGGGCCUCUCUGUAAUAGUUUUCUAGUGCUGUGUAACAAAUUAGUACAAACUGAGCAGUCUGCCGUACAUAACUAUUAUCUCGCAGUUUCUGUAGGUCGGAAGUCCAGGCACAGCGUGGCUGGAUUCUCUGCUCUGCUGGGGUCUCACCCACUUGAUGUCAACGUGUCGGCCAGGGCUCGGUGUUCAUCUGGGGCUGGGCGUUCUCUUCCAAGCUUACUAGUUGUUGGAAGACUUAUUUCCUUAUGGUUGUAGGACUGAGGAUUCCUUUCCUUCCUGGCCAUCAGCCAGCCAGGGUCCUCUCAGCUCCUAGAGAUGACCCACUUUUCUUGCUAUGUGGCCCCCUCCAUGUCUAAAGCCAGCAGUGGAGACUCUUGCCCCACCUGGCAUCUUCUCAUUUUGAUUCUCUCUGACUCUUCUGUCUCUGACUUCUAGACUUGGGUUUAAAGGGCUCAGCUGUUUUGAUCAGGCCCAUUAGGAUGAUUGCUUCCUCUUAAGGUCAACUGAUUCGGGGCCUUAAUUACAUCUGCAAAAAUCCCUGCAGAGUAGCCUUAAAUUAGUGUGUGACUGGGUAAUUGGAAGGAGGUGCCUAUUCGCCAGGGGAUGGAACACGUGGAGGCCAUCUUAGAAUUCCACACUCACCAAUCAGCUGAGGUGAAAGCUUUGCUUGUCUGCCUCUGCCUGACCUCCUAAUGUCCUCCCCUACGUCAUGAGUGGUGUAGACAGAGGAGGUCACAAACCUGCAUCUGACAUUAACAGCGCUGCUCCCUGAAGAGGGAGGGAAGACACAGCCUUGACUUUAUCCCUCAAUGUAGGUGAUGUUUCAUGGUGUGGGGAGAUUUUCGUUGGAUCAAUUGCCUGAUUCAGACACAGACUUAGUGAGGUGACAAAUAGCAAGUGUUAAAGUGUCUUUUUUAAUGGUAUUACAAAUGGUCUAAGAUAGGGAUCAGCAAACUACAGCCAGCCACCUGUUUUUUGUAAAUAAAGUGUUGGACCACAGCCAUGCCCAUGCACGUACGAAUUGCCUCUGGCUCCUUUUGUGUCACCACCGCAGAGCUGAGUAGCUGUGACAGAGACCUUAUGGCCCACAAGGCCAAAAAUACCCUCUGGCCCUUUACCUUGCCUACUCUGGGUCUAAGACCAUUCCCCUAGCUCUCUGAUGAUAAGAAUCACCUGGAUCAUUUAUUAAAAAGAGUUUCUGAGCCCAGCACGGAGUCGCUGAGUCAGAAUCUCCUGGGUAGGGAGUCUGGGAAGCAGGGUUGAACAAGCUCCCAGGUGAAUCUUAUCACAGGGAAAUGUUGGUCUCAGGUGUGCCUUCCCGCCGGGUAAGGGAAGAACCUUCAUAAGAGGCAGUGGGCAUUGCCUCCAGAGCACAGAGUUCAAGGUUCCAGUGUCUAAGUCUGCGUCCCAGCUCUGCCCCUCACCAGACCUCGCCAUCUCAGGUAGCACAGAAACAUGCAGAAGAUCAGAUCACAAAUUGGAUCCCCAAACCUCACUGGUGUUCUAGAUUUUUGUCAUGGAUUUACUCACAGACUCUGUGGAGGGGUCACAUGGCCCAUGACGACAGCAAAACACCCUUAAACCCAACUUCACCCAGCUUCCGCUCCCGUGGUCCAAGUCUUUAGCAACUGCUCCGGGAUCUUUCCUUUCACCUCUGGCUGGCUGCCUUUCUUCAUCCACUACCUCCUCUUUCAUCUUGUCUCCAUGAAGACGAGAUGAAGACAGUUUGGCCAAUCAAGGACUCUGACACAUGUCUCUUACUGUCUCCUGGGUCAGUUCCAGAAAGGAUCUUAGUGAUAAGAAACCACCACGUUUUAGGAAUGGGGAUGGGGGAGAAAGGUUGUCAAUACUUCAAUAGGUUUUGUUCCUGACACAUAAUAUCUAUGUGUACCUCUCGCCACGGUGUCCAUUUUAAAAAUGGGGUCUUAUACCUAAUGUCUUCUGAUUGGCUUAUUUCACUUGAUAACACAUCACAGAUCUUCAGCAGUAUUUAUAAGCCAACCUCAUUGUUUUUAACAACUGUCUCUAUUCUACCAUAUGAACGUGCCAUAACUAAUUUAACCCUUUCUAUACAAAAUGUUUCUUUUCUCUUUUUCUUCACUCUUGCAAAUAAUCUGCAGUGAAAAUCUUCUGUACUUUUCGUUUCUUUGCACACUUAGAAGUUUAUUUGCUGGGUCGAAAAGGAUGUGCGUUUUGACAGCAGAUUAUGGGAGGGGCGAUUGUGAACAUAGCAUGGGAUCUGUCCUGAAUAUUUUUCUUCCUGACCAACCUCCCCACUGGAUUCACAUUGAAUACAGCUUUCAUUUAUAGCUUAGGGGCAGUAAGUAAAAACUGGAAGAGCUAUUUCUCUAAAAAAAAAAAAAAAAAAACUUGGUAAAAUAUUGUGUGCGGCACAAAUAUGACUGCCUUGGGAAUGACAGCUCAAGAGAGGAAUGAGGUAUUUCCCUGUACUGUUCUAUAUAAACCAUUGGCAGCUUUGGUCCACUGGGGGUCCGAGGCCUGGUGGUACUGAGGGAGCUGUGCAGACACAGCGCCACCCAGUGGCUGUCUGGAGAGGAUGGAUUUGUUUGCAGGCACUGGUGCAAAAUCCCUGGGAACUCCUGGAAACGGGUGAGGGACAUUUUACUGGAGGCUGAAGUCCUGCAUGAACAGCAGGGAGAUUAGAGCAAGUGACAUUUGGGUUAUUGUUAAGGUGACUCCAUGUGUAGCCAUAGGCUGGUGCCUGGGGCAACUCAGGUUACUGUUGCUUUUGAGUGAAUUUGCAUUUUAUGUCUCAUACUGUGUCUGCAUAUAUUAGAACAAGAUAGCGGCAAUAUACAGGGAGCAAGUCAAUCUCUGGGCAGUGCUUAUCUGACUUCAGGGACCUCUGCCGUAGCUCUGUGGUCCAUAAGUUGGGAACCACUGAGAUGGGAUAUUGAAAAGCCGAGUGCAAAUGAAAUCAUUAACUCAAUGUCAAGGGGAGCAUGCUCUUUCAAGGAAUCCCGGGGUGGAUUCUCACCAAAGGAACACUCUGUUACUCCUUCUCAAGGUCCUAAAAUGACUCCCUGAUGUAACAAAUCAACUUACCUGCAGUUGUUACCCCUCCCUCCGUUACAAGUCCCUGCCCUGGGAUGCGCCCUGUUUCCCAAGCUCUGAGCAGGCAGGUGCUCUCAUGGCCAUUAGCAAGCAGAUGUUUAUUUCUACUUCUAAAUCUUUGCCUCUGUUUUCCCAUCUCUCUGAAGUGCCAUCUCCGCCCCUUUAGUAAUUUAAAGACUUCCACUCUUCAUGCCCUUCUGAGUCCACUGCUCCAAGUCCUCUGGGCCAACUUGGGCCUGAAGGGACUCUUCCUUUUGUAAGCUACUGAAGCUUGUGUUCUUGGUGUUGUAAAUUUGAUGUGGUCUCCGUUUUGGGCAUGUCACUUGUCUUCUCAGCUAGACGGAAUUCUGACAUCAGUGAGGCUUAAUGUCUUCAUACCUCCUUGAAGGAAGAUGUUAGACACAAAAUAGCAUAUUUAUGUAACUCCCUGCAUGAUGAAAAAAAUUAGAGCCAAAUGGUUUUUUUUCGGAAACCUAGAUCUUCGUAUGUUGGAUCUGCUUUAAGUCGACUUAAAAACUUUCAUUCACUUAUCCAUUCAUCUAGUUAUUUGUACAUAUAAUAUACGAAGUGCCGAAUACGUGUCAGAUGUCAGGCACGUCCUUAUUCAGCAGAGAGUGGAGAAAACACCUUGGUUUUCCGGAACUGUGACAAAUGGGCAGCCCAUGCUCUAUGGAUGGACCCUCGCGACUUGCCACCUUGGCUCUGAAGAUGCCUGUUUCCCCCGUUGUGGUGGUGACCAGCUUAUCCUCUAUGUUCUCACCUGCACCCUAUAGACCUGCGCUGAAUGCUCACAUGAGGCUGGAUGUGGGUCUUGGGUCUAGGAGCAUAGUCUUCCACUUAGAAUGGAGUUGUUCCUGGGAAAAGCAUGGUCUCCUAUGCGGAAAAUCAAGCCGGUUGCUCAUAAAAAUGGAGCUGCUCUUCCUGGAUCAAGGAUUGAGAAGCCAGACCACCUGGAUCACGUGUCCCUAUGCUCCUGGGCCUGGUGCACUGCUCAGGAAACAUGUUGAGUGAGCGAUGGUCAUAUUCUAUUGGAUUCAGCUCUGCUUCCUCUCAUUCUGCGCUGUGUUGACUUUUUCUAUGUGACCUAUGUUUUGCUGGCCUGUGGGUUAAGAGUAGUUAUUGCUCACAGGCCAGUGGGCAACUGUUAAGUGGUAGAAGUUCAGGAGAUCUAAUACCUUGGGGGGAUUUGUACCAAUUACUUAACUGCCCGAAUACCAAGUUCCUGCAUGUGAGCUUUAUAAUAAGAUGAGCCAGGUCUCACAUUUAUCCCAAGAAGACAGGACUUAUCCAAAUCAUCUAUAUUUUAGCAGGCAGUACCAAACUUCAGGCCUCAGAAACACAUUUUAAAUAAUUCUUGCCAUGCCAUAUAUUUUAAGUAUCAUUAAAAAGCCAUUUUCUUUAAAAAAUAUGUGUGCAAUAUAUUUUAUGAAACCUAGAACAAGUCUAUGAAAAAUUGAUUAUUUUUUCCACAGGGAUGUGUUCAGAUGAUUUUCAUUCUGCUCACCAAAUGAAAAAUCCAGCGUGUGUUAUGUCCUUUAUCUUAUUUACUCUCUCUCCUGAGAAUAAUCACCAUGUUCCCAAACAAAGAGAUGGGUUGCCCGGUUUGAGUAACCAAAUAAUUUCCUGUGGUGGGCAAAGGAGUUGCUGCAGAUCUAAACUAGGAAGCGUGCAUUUCCCUUUCAAAUGCCGGAUUUUCCUGCUCUGUGCCUCCCUUCAGUCAGCUCCAGGCUGCUUCCCUGAUGCUAACUUAAGAUCCAGCUAUUACACUGGGAUGAAAAUGGAGAGCUUUGCUCAGCCUCUGAACACACGUUAACAGCACAGGAGGUCCUAGGAUCCUCACAAAUAAGAAUCGUCACAAAAGAAUGAGCCCCGUUUGUUUUUCCAUGUGAAUCAGCAUUUCCAGAGGAUUCCAACAUUUGAAAUGCCAACUGAGGUUAAAAGCAAUGGAGCGCUCUCCUGAUGAAUCCCUGCCUCUGCUCCAGGGUGAAAACAUGAUGGUGUCCAUUGGAUCUCUGCCUUUCUGGCUCUGAGUCAUUCAGUGUUUAUAACCGGAAGAGCAACAGUGGUUCAAAAGCCUGCACACCUCGAGGGUUGGGUCCACUGGAAUUUGUAGAAGACCAGUGCCCCAAUUCCAAUGCCUAAGUGCAUGGAAUUCCAUUGCCUAAGGCACUGUAUUCUGCACUGAUGAAGUGAUGGGAUACGACAGACAUGCUUUCAUGGACCUUAUCCUCCAGUGGGAAGAUGGACAAUAAGGAAAGAGAUUCAUGAGUAGAAUGAUCUUAAAAACACCGAGGUGUGAAACAGAGGCCCUGUUCAAAAGUUGCUUAGGGCCUGGCUACUUGGAGUGUUGUUCUCGACUGGCAGCAUCAGCAUCCCUGGGAGCCUGUUGGAAACGCAGAAUCUCAGGCCACACCCCACACCUGUGGAAUUAAUCUGCUUUUUAAACAAGAUCCCUGUGGUUCAUGAUUUGGAGGCAUCAUAAUGUUUAAGAAGCACUGGCUUAUGCAACAUAGGCUGUGUUCCAGGUGAGACAAGAAGGCCCUGAAACCUGUGGCUGGAUUCAUCCAGGCUCGGGAAGGCCUAGGAGGAAGAGCUGCUUGAAGGUUUAGGAAAAGACGGUAUGGAGCAGGCCAGCCCUGGAAGUCUUGGAAAGAGCACUGUGUGACCUCUCUUUGCUUGAGUUGACUUUACUGAAUCCUACCAGAAGAACCUGGCAAAUAAAUUUUACUUUGUGUGACAACUACCUCUGGCGAAGGCUUUGAUUUCAACUCACCAAGAAGGGAACCCACUUUAGUUUGGUAACAAAACCAGUUGGAGUCAGUUUGGGUAUAAAAAGAUACGCCAAUCAAGUCUUCUAUAGACGGCCCCUGUUAGCAAAUCAUAUGUACUCCUACAAAGCCAUCCAAGUUGUCCUCACGUCCUAGCAGCAAAACUAAAGACCGAAACAAAGACAAAAGAACUGACCACCCUGAAAAUGCUUAACAACAUGGAUUUCAAGAAACAUGUAAGCUGCGAACUGAGAGUGUCAAAUGAUGAAGAAGCACAAUGGAAGUUCUUGGGAAGAUGAUGGGCUGUCUCCCUAGUCCCUCUAAUUCGUGACUUACUGGGGCAGAGACGGGGGAGGACAGCCUGGGUGCUGCCUGCCACCUUUCUUUACAGGCGGGAGCUGGUGGGAGCACGGCAGCCACAGAGGAGCACAGCGGAGCCGGGAGUGUUCCAGCAAAGCCUCUCAGGGCGAGUCGGUCCGCGUCCUCCAGGCUGCAAUUCGGAGGCCGUAACGGGAAGUCUGUGCUUCUUCCCGCUCCCAAGCCCCGCCUUCCUCUCAAAGACAGAGAAUUAGUUAAAAAAGCAAAUGAAGGAAAUUCCCUAAAGAACCCUACCGGGGAACAACAAAAACAUCCAUUGUAAACAGCAGGAGUUGAGAGGGCUGGAUGAUUUUAAAAACUUGUGUUUGGACCUCGUGGAGUUCUUUUAGUGGGCAGUGGCCCUGAGAGAGACACAGGUGUCAGGAAUGGGAGUGAUUACUGCUGGUGCCUCCAGGAUGGAGCAGUCUCUUCUUGAAGAUUUGCCUUCCCUCCUCCCUCAGCUUUAUUGAGAUAUAAUUGACAAAUAAAAAUUGUAUAUAUUUAAGGUAUAUUAGCAUCCUUGGAUAUACUUAUACACUGUGAGAUGAUCACUACAAUCAAGCUAAUUAACAUGUCUGUCACCACACACAGUUACUUUGUUGUUGUGGUGAGAACAAUAAGAUAUACUAUCUUAGUAAAUUUCAAGUA